AGUGAACGCUGGCGGUAGGCCUAACACAUGCAAGUCGAACGGCAGCACAGUAAGAGCUUGCUCUUACGGGUGGCGAGUGGCGGACGGGUGAGGAAUACAUCGGAAUCUACUUUUUCGUGGGGGAUAACGUAGGGAAACUUACGCUAAUACCGCAUACGACCUACGGGUGAAAGCAGGGGAUCUUCGGACCUUGCGCGAUUGAAUGAGCCGAUGUCGGAUUAGCUAGUUGGCGGGGUAAAGGCCCACAAGGCGACGAUCCGUAGCUGGUCUGAGAGGAUGAUCAGCCACACUGGAACUGAGACACGGUCCAGACUCCUACGGGAGGCAGCAGUGGGGAAUAUUGGACAAUGGGCGCAAGCCUGAUCCAGCCAUACCGCGUGGGUGAAGAAGGCCUUCGGGUUGUAAAGCCCUUUUGUUGGGAAAGAAAAGCAGCAGGUUAAUACCCCGCUGUUCUGACGGUACCCAAAGAAUAAGCACCGGCUAACUUCGUG
RNAcentral lists this ribosomal RNA (491 nucleotides) under uncultured bacterium. Its description in RNAcentral is "partial 16S ribosomal RNA". It matches the Rfam family "Bacterial small subunit ribosomal RNA", at positions 29 to 507 of the family's 1533-position model. The record is from RNAcentral.